CUACGUAGGGUGCGAGCGUUGUCCGGAAUUACAGGGCGUAAAGAGCUCGUAGGUGGUUUGUCGCGUCGUCUGUGAAAUUCCGGGGCUUAACUCCGGGCGUGCAGGCGAUACGAGCAUAACUUGAGUACUGUAGGGGAGACUGGAAUUCCUGGUGUAGCGGUGAAAUGCGCAGAUAUCAGGAGGAACACCGGGGGCGAAGGCGGCUCUCGGGUCAGAAACUGACGCUGAGGAGCGAAAGCAAGGGUAGCGAACAGGAUGAGAUACCGUGGGAGUCCAUGCCGUAAACGGUGGGCGCUAGGUGUAAGGGUCUUCCACGACUUCUGUGCCGUAGCUAACGCAUUAAGCGCCCCGCCUGGGGAGUACGGCCGCAAGGCUAAAACUCAAAUGAAUUGACGGGG
RNAcentral lists this ribosomal RNA (398 nucleotides) under uncultured bacterium. Its description in RNAcentral is "partial 16S ribosomal RNA". It matches the Rfam family "Bacterial small subunit ribosomal RNA", at positions 523 to 918 of the family's 1533-position model. The record is from RNAcentral.